This 370-nucleotide long non-coding RNA is filed under the name Nicotiana benthamiana. Its description in RNAcentral is "long non-coding RNA (NBEN_LNC022904)". Lineage: Eukaryota; Viridiplantae; Streptophyta; Magnoliopsida; Solanales; Solanaceae. The record is from RNAcentral.
AAUCUGAACUUGCUUUGCUUGUGAAGAAAAUUGGAGACGUCGAUUAACUUGUUGUGUAUCGACACUUUCCAUACCCAACAUUUCAUCCUCGCCUUCAUCAAUUACCUCACUGAUAGGUUGGAAUUUCAACGGUAGAAAACUGGCAAACGUAACAGGUAUCCUUUGUUGGAUACCAUUUUCCGGCGUUAUCUGCAUCCCGAAGUUUCCAGUUCCGCUAGGGUUGUGAAACAUUAUAGGCGCGGAACCCAUUCUGGUUAACCACUGAGCAGGCUUAUUCAUAGCAGGUGUUUAUAUUCUCUCCUCCUCCGGUAUCGCUUUUGUCACCGGUUGUUUCUUCCGUCCUCUCGCCAUGACUGGAGGCGCAAGUUAG